Molecule: ribosomal RNA, 323 nt
Filed under: uncultured bacterium
Lineage: Bacteria
Description: bacterial SSU rRNA
Rfam family: Bacterial small subunit ribosomal RNA
Source: RNAcentral
UAGCAAUACGGGAGCGGCAGACGGGAGAGUAACACGUGGGAACGCGCCCUUCGGUUCGGAAUAACUCAGGGAAACUUGAGCUAAUACCGGAUACGCCCUUACGGGGAAAGAUUUAUUGCCGAAGGAACGGCCCGCGUCCGAUUAGCUUGUUGGUGAGGUAACGGCUCACCAAGGCGACGAUCGGUAGCUGGUCUGAGAGGAUGACCAGCCUCACUGGGACUGAGACACGGCCCAGACUCCUACGGGAGGCAGCAGUGGGGAAUAUUGGACAAUGGGCGCAAGCCUGAUCCAGCCAUGCCGCGUGGAUGAUGAAGGCCCUAGGG